RNAcentral lists this ribosomal RNA (531 nucleotides) under Planococcus sp. IP20B. RNAcentral describes it as "bacterial SSU rRNA". It matches the Rfam family "Bacterial small subunit ribosomal RNA", at positions 1 to 520 of the family's 1533-position model. Lineage: Bacteria; Bacillati; Bacillota; Bacilli; Caryophanales; Caryophanaceae. The record is from RNAcentral.
UGGAGAGUUUGAUCCUGGCUCAGGACGAACGCUGGCGGCGUGCCUAAUACAUGCAAGUCGAGCGGAACCWUUGGAGCUUGCUCCAUUGGUUUAGCGGCGGACGGGUGAGUAACACGUGGGCAACCUGCCCUGCAGAUCGGGAUAACUCCGGGAAACCGGUGCUAAUACCGAAUAGUUUGCGGCCUCUCCUGAGGCUGCACGGAAAGACGGUUUCGGCUGUCACUGCAGGAUGGGCCCGCGGCGCAUUAGCUAGUUGGUGGGGUAAUGGCCCACCAAGGCSACGAUGCGUAGCCGACCUGAGAGGGUGAUCGGCCACACUGGGACUGAGACACGGCCCAGACUCCUACGGGAGGCAGCAGUAGGGAAUCUUCCGCAAUGGACGCAAGUCUGACGGAGCAACGCCGCGUGAGUGACGAAGGUUUUCGGAUCGUAAAACUCUGUUGUGAGGGAAGAACACGUACCAAGUAACUACUGGUACCUUGACGGUACCUCACCAGAAAGCCACGGCUAACUACGUGCCAGCAGCCGCGG